CAAAAGUUUGGUCCUAGCUUUUUUAUCAAUUUUAAUCAAUUUUACACAUGCAAGCAUCCACGAACCAGUGAAUAAAUCCCUUAUAAAAACUAAGGAGCCGAUAUCAGGCACAACAUUUACUUAGCCUAUAACAUCUAGCUCAGCCACACCCACAAGGGCAAGCAGCAGUGAUUAACAUUAAUAAUGAACACAAGUUCAAUUUAGAUAUGAUUAAUAGAGUUGGUUUAUCUUGUGCCAGCCACCGCGGUUAUACAAGAAACUCAAAUUGAUAUUAUACGGCGUAAAAAGUGAUAAAAAAAACAAUUAAAAAUUAAGAUUAAAUAUUCAUUUAACUGUCAUACGUUAUUAUGCAAUAUAAAAUCAACAACAUCUUAAUAUUUAUAUUAUACUUGAAUUCACGACCGUUAAAACACAAACUGGGAUUAGAUACCCCACUAUGUUUAACCACAAAAAUUGAACACCUACAAUUAACCUCUGCCAGAGUACUACAAGCAACAGCUUAAAAUUCAAAGGACUUGGCGGUAUCCCAAAACCCCCCAGAGGAGCCUGUUCUAUAAUCGAUAACCCACGUUUUACCUUACCAUUUUUUGCUAACUCAACCUAUAUACCGCCGUCAUCAGCCCACCUUUUGAAAGACUAAUAGACAGCUAAACUGAAUAUUACCAAAUACGUCAGGUCAAGGUGUAGUAUAUAAAAUGGACAGAAAUGGGCUACAUUUUUUUACAAAAAAUAUCACGACUAAUAUUAUGAAAAAAUAUUUAAAGGCGGAUUUGGUAGUAAAAUAAGAUCACCAUACUUAUUUAAAACCGGCCCUGGGAUGCGCACACACCGCCCGUCACCCUCAUCAAAAAACAACCAACUUAUUAAUAAAACCUAUUACUAUAAUUACUAGAAGAGGAAAGUCGUAACAAGGUAAGCGCACUGGAAAGUGCUCUUGGAUUAC
This 943-nucleotide non-coding RNA is filed under the name Dermophis mexicanus (Mexican burrowing caecilian). RNAcentral describes it as "12S ribosomal RNA". It matches the Rfam family "Microsporidia small subunit ribosomal RNA". Lineage: Eukaryota; Metazoa; Chordata; Amphibia; Gymnophiona; Dermophiidae. The record is from RNAcentral.